UACGGGGGGGGCAAGCGUUGUUCGGAAUUACUGGGCGUAAAGGGCUCGUAGGCGGCCAACUAAGUCAGACGUGAAAUCCCUCGGCUUAACCGGGGAACUGCGUCUGAUACUGGAUGGCUUGAGUUCGGGAGAGGGAUGCGGAAUUCCAGGUGUAGCGGUGAAAUGCGUAGAGAUGUGGAGGAACACCAGUGGCGAAGGCGACUCUUUGGCCUGUAACUGACGCUGAGGCGCGAAAGCGUGGGGAGCAAACAGG
Molecule: ribosomal RNA, 253 nt
Filed under: uncultured bacterium
Lineage: Bacteria
Description: partial 16S ribosomal RNA
Rfam family: Bacterial small subunit ribosomal RNA
Source: RNAcentral